Molecule: long non-coding RNA, 1770 nt
Organism: Oncorhynchus keta (chum salmon)
Lineage: Eukaryota; Metazoa; Chordata; Actinopteri; Salmoniformes; Salmonidae
Exons: 3
Source: RefSeq, a predicted model, not a curated record
UUUCUCGUGUCUCUUUGUUUCCACUGUGCAUUUAGUAACAGAGACCGGGAGGGUUGGUGGACUCUGUUCCACUGACACACCAGUUCCCUACUACAGAGGCCCUGAUGGGGAGCUUGUUCUUAAAGAUGUGAGGUCCAUCAUUCCACGAGAAUAUUAAACCACUAUCUAUCUCUGUCUCUCUCUCUCUAUCUGUCACGCCUUAGAGAGCCCUUUUAACGUCUCUAUUUUUGGUUUGGUCACGGUGUGAUUUGGGGUGGGCAUUCUAUGUUCCAUUUUCUAUGUUUUUGUAUUUCUUUGUGUUUGGUCGGGUCGGGUUCUCAAUCAGGGACAGCUGUAUAUCGUUGUCUCUGAUUGGGAAUCAUACUUAGGCAGCCCGUUUUCCCUUUGUUAUUUGUGGGAAGUUAUCUUUGUCAUUUGUGGGAAGUUAUCUUUGUCAUUUGUGGGAAGUUAUCUUUGUCAUUUGUGGGAAGUUAUCUUUGUCAUUUGUGGGAAGUUAUCUUUGUUAUUUGUGGGAAGUUAUCUUUGUUAUUUGUGGGAAGUUAUCUUUGUCAUUUGUGGGAAGUUAUCUUUGUUAUUUGUGGGAAGUUAUCUUUGUUAUAGGUGGGAAGUUAUCUUUGUUAUAGGUGGGAAGUUAUCUUUGUUAUUUGUGGGAAGUUAUCUUUGUUAUAGGUGGGAAGUUAUCUUUGUUAUUUGUGGGAAGUUAUCUUUGUUAUAGGUGGGAAGUUAUCUUUGUUAUAGGUGGGAAGUUAUCUUUGUUAUAGGUGGGAAGUUAUCUUUGUUAUUUGUGGGAAGUUAUCUUUGUUAUUUGUGGGAAGUUAUCUUUGUUAUUUGUGGGAAGUUAUCUUUGUUAUAGGUGGGAAGUUAUCUUUGUUAUUUGUGGGAAGUUAUCUUUGUUAUUUGUGGGAAGUUAUCUUUGUUAUAGGUGGGAAGUUAUCUUUGUUAUUUGUGGGAAGUUAUCUUUGUUAUAGGUGGGAAGUUAUCUUUGUUAUUUGUGGGAAGUUAUCUUUGUUAUUUGUGGGAAGUUAUCUUUGUUAUAGGUGGGAAGUUAUCUUUGUUAUAGGUGGGAAGUUAUCUUUGUUAUUUGUGGGAAGUUAUCUUUGUUAUUUGUGGGAAGUUAUCUUUGUUAUUUGUGGGAAGUUAUCUUUGUUAUAGGCUGUUAAGCUUCACAGUCGUUUUUUUUUAUUGUGUAUUGUUUCUGUUGGCGACAUUAAAAAAUGAAGUAAUGUACGCUCACAACCCUGCGCUUUGGUCUUCUUCUUCUGACGGUCGUGACAACCACUCUCUCUGUCUCUCUCUCUGUCUCUCUGUCUCUCUGUCUCUCUCUCUGUCUCUCUCUCUGUCUCUCUGUCUCUCUCUCUGUCUCUCUCUCUGUCUCUCUGUCUCUCUCUCUGUCUCUCUCUCUGUCUCUCUGUCUCUCUGUCUCUCUCUCUCUCUCUGUCUCUCUCUCUGUCUCUGUCUCUCUCUCUGUCUCUGUCUCUCUCUCUGUGUCUCUCUCUGUCUCUCUCUCUGUCCCUCUCUCUCUCUCUCUGUGUCUCUCUGUCUCUCUCUCUCUCUCUCUCUGUGGCUCUCUCUGUCUCUCUCUGUCUCUCUCUCUGUCUCUCUCUGUCUCUCUCUGUCUCUCUCUCUGUCUCUCUCUCUGUCUCUCUGUCUCUCUCUGUCUCUCUCUGUCUCUCUCUGUCUCUCUCUGUCUCUCUCUGUCUCUCUCUGUCUCUCUGUGUCUCUCUCUGUCUCUCUGUCUCUCUCUGUGUCUCUCUCUGUGUCACUCUCUCU